CUGUAGUGAAAUGGAUAGCGCGUUGGACUUCUAAUCCAAAGGUCGUGGUUUCGAAUCCCACCUGAAAUGG
Molecule: transfer RNA, 70 nt
Filed under: Trichonephila clavata
Lineage: Eukaryota; Metazoa; Arthropoda; Arachnida; Araneae; Nephilidae
Description: tRNA-Arg
Rfam family: tRNA
About the family: Transfer RNA (tRNA) molecules are approximately 80 nucleotides in length.
Source: RNAcentral